Molecule: long non-coding RNA, 267 nt
Organism: Grus americana (Whooping crane)
Lineage: Eukaryota; Metazoa; Chordata; Aves; Gruiformes; Gruidae
Exons: 3
Source: RefSeq, a predicted model, not a curated record
GCUGGACAAGAAGCAACUGACCUUUCAGCAAAGAAGAUUCAGCCUAGUGUAACAGAAGGAAGGCGCCCUCGAGUGCAAUUCCUACAUACAAGAAACAGAGCUACUGAAGGUCUUGCUGUACCAAAAGAAAGACAAAAGGUUUCCUUUCUUCUUGUAGGAGAGUGUGAUUUGAGGUUGCUGUAGGAUGGGAAUAAUGGGGGAAGACCAGUACUUAUGUUGCUUUGACACUGUAAAUGAUUCUCUGAGGCCCUGAAAACAUCAGUGACA